GCUGGGCGUGGUGGCGGGCACCUGUAAUCCCAGCUAGUUGGGAGGCUGAGGUGGGAGAAUCACUUGAACCCAGGAGGUGGAAGUUGCAGUGAGCCAAGAUCAUGCCACUGCACUCCAGCCUGGGUGACAGAGUGAGAUUCCAUCUCAA
This 148-nucleotide non-coding RNA is filed under the name Gorilla gorilla gorilla (western lowland gorilla). Lineage: Eukaryota; Metazoa; Chordata; Mammalia; Primates; Hominidae. The record is from Rfam by way of RNAcentral.